This 639-nucleotide long non-coding RNA is filed under the name Pan troglodytes (chimpanzee). RNAcentral describes it as "lincRNA". The record is from RNAcentral. Lineage: Eukaryota; Metazoa; Chordata; Mammalia; Primates; Hominidae.
UGAGGAGAGAAGAAAAGGAACUAGCAAGGGGAGCUCUUGAUGGGUACCAAGGCAUAAAAAAAAAGGCUCUCAGCCAUCCUCAUACUGAAACCUAAACUCCUGGUACCUGGACCCACGUUGUCCUCAGUCUCUCCUUCCAGUUACCUGGCUCGGAUUCUGUUCAACAUGAGGGCUUGCUGUUUCCUGCAUGGCCUGGCCCGGCCCCAUGGUUUUGUGGAUCUGCUGCCUAAUUUGUGAAAGUUUACACAACCUUUCUACGUGAAGAAUAUUGCAACUUUAAAAACAGCAUGCAAAAUUUUGUUACAUUAGGAUGCAAAAAGGGCAUGGUGGCUUAUGCCUGUAAUCCCAGCAUUUUUGGAGGCUGAGGCAGGAGGAUCAUCUGAGGUCAGGAGUUUGAUACCACCGUGGCCAACAUGGUGAAUCCCUGUUUCUACUAAAAAUACAAAAAAUUAGCUGGGUGUGGUGGUGCAUGCCUGUAGUUGCCUGAUUGAGUAUCCCAACACCUAACACACACAUGUGCACGUGCACACACACACCCAUGGCAAGUGAGAGAGAGAGAACCAUUUAACAAUGACUGAAGAUUAAUUGGUCUCAGGAAUUUAAAAUAACUUCUGUACAGCCAUUAGCUGGCUACUGAAA